GGCGACGUCGGCAUGGAGGGACCCCGCGGAGGAGUCGGCGCUCCCGGUGAGACUGGCCCUCGUGGUGAUGCUGGGCCUCCAGGACCGAAGGGAGGUAAAGGUUCCAAGGGGUCUGGAGGUGACAAAGGAAAAGAGGGUCCACAGGGUCGAGACGGACAGAAGGGUCAGACCGGAGCACCCGGGUUUCCAGGGGACGUCGGCGACAGAGGCUACAUGGUGAGAAAGUGUUGUGUUCAUAAAUCUGAUCAAAAUAUUUUUUGGGAAAAAGCUUUGUGUGGCUAUAAAUGAUCUUUCAAAAUGGUAAUUUGGGAAAAAUCUUUAAAUAUAUAUAUGGUGAUGCGAACGCUAUGCUGCGUUUAAAGCGCUGGUGGAACAUUUAACUAAAUUAAGUGAUAUUUUAGUGAAAUGUCACAAAUUAAUUAUUUUUUUUAUUAAUUUACCUUCGACCCCGAAACAUCAAGGGCAUCUGUGUGUAGUCUUCACAAUGGGGGAGAUUAUAUUGAUGUGUUUGAUUCAUUUUUCACUAAAAAUGAAGUUGUCGUUUCUCUUGUUACGACAAACGAUGACACAGCCUGUGACAUCAUGUUAUUGGGUUUUUUUCCAUCUACCUAGCAACAGGUUACGACCCCUCAAACUCCUCCUCUCAUCGUGAACUCAGCGCACCUAAAAUAAAUUGAAGCUAUUGAGCAUCACAUUCCCUAAUUCACUGUUCCGGCCAUUUUUUUCUUCUCUGUUUCGUCUUUGAAGUUAUUUUACUUCUUCGUUUCUUGUUUCUUUUUCCACCUUCUGAUAAUCUGAGCAGAUUAUUCUCUGUUUGCCCCCGCAGGGUUACCCCGGACAGCCGGGAGGCUUCGGACCCGGCGGACCAAAGGUACCAGCACCCAGAUGAUGCAUCUCCCCGCAUUUUCAGUUAAUCCUCCACCGUGAGGUUGCUUCUCAUGCUGCGUUCCAUUGUACCUCGGAUUAUAAUCGUAGAACUCGCAGUGACCGACCUCCAAGCCAGAAAUUGCAAUUGGGUAUAAUGGAACGCAGCGUAAGCUCCAUCACUAAUCUCAGCAGAGGGGUUUUAGUUUCCCAAUAAGUAGCCUCCAUACUGUCACAGCUAAUUGGUCGGCAAAGGUCGACUUCACCGUGACAUCACAAUGUUCUGCUGAGACAUUCAAGGGUCAGGAACAAGAAGCGGCGAUUGUGAAUAUUCCCAGAUAUCUCCUCCAGCAGGUUCUGACGGAUUCUCAUAUCUUGUCUCCAUGAAACGUUCAAGUCAAGCGGGAGAAAAUACCUGAAUUAGCCUUUUCAGCUUUUACUCAACUCAUUGCCUCAUUUAGACUGUAAUGUGUGUGUGUGUGUGUGUGCGUGUGUGUGUGUGUGUGUGUGUGUGUAAUACUGAAAGUAAAAAAAGAAAGUGAAAAGACUGUAAGCAAAUAGAUACCAACAAGUAUGAUUACUAUGUUUAUUUAUGGGAUCAUACUGGCGACACGUGAUCUGAAUGACUACAGCAGAUAGUUUCUGAGGUGACCCAGAUGCUCUCCGUUUCAGUCAUCUGACCUUUUAAAAAGAAACCAAAACACUUUUAUGUCUUUAUUCUAAAUGUGUAAUUCAGGUACAGUUUUUCUCAUUUGGUAUAUCCAUUGAAAACAACAACUACAACAAAGCUGCGGCUGUUUGGCCACAGAUGAAUAAAGCCAAAAAAAAUAAAAAAAGGAAAAGCUGCAGAGCCUGUUGUUCUUGCACAACCUGUACUGUAUUGACUGGUCCACACACAGUGGACUGAGUGAUCUGGACAGAAAUACAUUACAUUCAUGUAGCAGUGCAAGAAUCAAUAAAGUAAUUCAACUUUUGUCAAAUAGGCAGAAAAUAAACAGCUUCAAGUGCUCAUUUUAGAUUUUUUUACAUUUUUUAUAAUGAAUUCAGAAGUUUUUGGUCCUCUUUUUUUGUCCAACCUUUCUUCUCUGCUCACGUCCCAUUUUUGUUUUCUCUCCUCAGGGCAGCGAAGGUCACGGCGGCCUGCCAGGCAGUGACGGUGACCCCGGAGAAGAUGUGAGUAGAUUAUUAUGAAUCUCCACAAGCUGUCCAGUCGUCUGAAUAUUAUUUAACAUAUUUUUUAACAUAUACCGAUGGUUGUCUUCUCAGGGUCCCAUAGGAGUCCCGGGGCUGAUGGGAGAGCCUGGAGAGUUUGGUGUCAAGGUAUCGAACACUCUGGCUCCUUACUGCGAUUACAUCAUCACCUUGUUACAGACAGAUGGAUAUGUAGAUAGAAUACUUUUAAUCGAUUAGGUUAUUUAAUUUUUUCAAUACAUACAGAGGAUUACGGAAUAUUUGAGAUUAGUUUGGUCUGAAAAUAUAAGAUAUUAAAGAUACAGAUAUAAGACAUGAAACCAUGAGAUGAACCAUGAAAACCUCCACUCAGCAGCAUCAUAACAUCUGUUCUGCUUUUCAGGGGAGCAAAGGGGAUCGAGGUGUGGCCGGUCCUCGAGGCAGAGUGGGCGCUGUGGUGAGUGGGAGCAGCGGGAUGUCGCCGUGAUCAAAAAUUAAACCAGUCCUUUUGAUUCUAAAGUCGCAGGUUUGAUUCCUGAAAGAGUACAUGUGCUAUGGUCAGAUGUCUCCAGAUCCACGCAUGAUUAUGCAUUUUCAACCCUGAACACCUUAAGUUUUCGCAGGAAUAUACAUUUGAAGACAGUAGCUCAAGAAUAUCUAUUGGGAUGUUGCAAGACUUUGCUGGGUGGAAGAUUAGGACCAUCAGGGUUGUUAUCAUCAGGACUUAAUGGGAACUAUAGCUGAGUAUCGUCUAUAUGCUUUAGGAGAUUCAUUUUAAUACUAUACUAACAGAGCCCAGAGAAAACAUUUGAUUUAAAAAAAAAAAACCUUGUUCACGUGAUUCUCAUGAGUCAAACUGACUCUGAAACUUUAACUACCGGGAAAAAACCUGCAGCUCUGGGUUUUAACGGACAAUUAUAUCAAGAGAAAAAUAUGUCAGAAACUAACUAAAUCAAAAUAGAGCUGUUAAUCAUACUUCCUCCAAGUUUGACAUUUUGGAUAUUCAAGGGUUUUACCCAGUGAAGCUUUUACUUCCAGUUCCUGUCUCGUACUGCGAGAACUAGAUCGCUUUCACAUCAUUUGUAUUAUUUAGAAUGGCGUUGAUUGAUUGAUUGUUUUUGUGUUUUGUGUGUUUUGUCCAUCAGGGAGCUGAAGGAGGACAGGGAGACGCUGGAGUGCCAGGGAAACCCGGGCCGAAGGGCCUGCAGGCCCAGCCGGUGUGUACACACAACGCUCAGAGUUACAACACACAAAAACACAAAAUCCAGAUCACUUAUGAAUAUAUAUCGAGUUCAUGUCAGGCCUCAGGUGGUUCUUCUCUCCGUCCACAGAGAAGAUCUCAACUCUAAUCUCAUAUUUAAUCGCACUUUUUCAGUACAAAGUUCAAGCUAGGCUUUUAUGAUAUCUACUGUAUCGUAGUGUUUGUUCCACCGUGUCUUAAUGUGGACACAGAUGAGCCUUUUUAAUUUUAAAUUAACUUAAAUUAAAAGUUCUCUUGUAUUUCCACCCCUGGAUAACUCCAGUUUAAGUCCGGAUUUGUGUUUUUGUCAUUAACCUGACGAGCUCCUUGUUGUUUCUUUUAUCCAGGGGGCCAAAGGUGAGACGGGACCUGAUGGUGACAAGGUGAGCUCUUCAAUAAUAACUGUGAAAUGCCGAUGAGAUCACAACAACAGAGAGAAAAAAGGAAAAG
RNAcentral lists this long non-coding RNA (3724 nucleotides) under Scophthalmus maximus (turbot). Its description in RNAcentral is "lncRNA (ENSSMAG00000033500.1)". Lineage: Eukaryota; Metazoa; Chordata; Actinopteri; Pleuronectiformes; Scophthalmidae. The record is from RNAcentral.